CUGCUUUUAAUAUAUAUAUUUUUUUAAACAAAAAAAAUAAAUAACUGAUUAAAUCAAAUGUACAAUAGACAUUAUGCAAUCAUUAUGCACUUUUAACUACUUCUUCUGGUCCGCUCUGCACAGCUGUCACCGAAAAACAGAAGCACAAUGAGGGGAGAGUGGGGUCAUGGCACCGGGAGAAUAGGGUAAGGUGGGGCUGCAAGGGUAGGCUAGGACAGGGUUAGUUGGGCUGGUGAGGUAGGCUAGGACAGGGUUAGUUGGGCUGGUGAGGUAGGCUAGGAGGGGUUAAGUUGGGCUGGUGAGGAGGGGGUAAGUUGGGCUGGUAGUGUAGGUAAGGAGGGGGUAAGUUGGGCUGGUGAGAAGGGGGUAAGUUGGGCUGGUGAGGAGGGAAUCAGUUGGGCUGGUAGGGUAGGUGAGGAGGGGGUAAGUUGGGCUGGUGAGGGGGGGGGUAGUUGGGCUGGUGAGGUAGGUGAGGAGGGGGUAGUUGGGCUGGUGAGGAGGGAAUCAGUUGGGCUGGUAGGGUAGGUGAGGAGGGGGUAGUUGGGCUGGUGAGGAGGGAAUCAGUUGGGCUGGUAGGGUAGGUGAGGAGGGGGUAGUUGGGCUGGUGAGGAGG
Oncorhynchus tshawytscha (Chinook salmon) is the source of this 613-nucleotide long non-coding RNA. Lineage: Eukaryota; Metazoa; Chordata; Actinopteri; Salmoniformes; Salmonidae. The record is from Ensembl.